Molecule: unclassified non-coding RNA, 238 nt
Filed under: uncultured Trichoderma
Lineage: Eukaryota; Fungi; Ascomycota; Sordariomycetes; Hypocreales; Hypocreaceae
Description: sequence contains ITS1
Source: RNAcentral
AUUACCGAGUUUACAACUCCCAAACCCAAUGUGAACGUUACCAAACUGUUGCCUCGGCGGGAUCUCUGCCCCGGGUGCGUCGCACCCCGGACCAAGGCGCCCGCCGGAGGACCAACCAAAACUCUUAUUGUAUACCCCCUCGCGGGUUUUUUUAUAAUCUGAGCCUUCUCGGCGCCUCUCGUAGGCGUUUCGAAAAUGAAUCAAAACUUUCAACAACGGAUCUCUUGGUUCUGGCAUC